This 6412-nucleotide long non-coding RNA is filed under the name Sus scrofa (pig). RNAcentral describes it as "lncRNA (ENSSSCG00000055937.1)". The record is from RNAcentral. Lineage: Eukaryota; Metazoa; Chordata; Mammalia; Artiodactyla; Suidae.
GAGUUCCUGCCGGCCUCGCCGGUGCAGUUAAUUUUAGCUGGGGUUUGUUCUAUGAGUUGUAAAACUGUUUACCCAAGUAGAAGUUAGUAAGCUGAAAUGUGACUUCUCGCCCGAUGUGAGAGGAGCCUGUUUUAGACUGAGAUUGUGUUCGUGAUCCCAGGAGCAGUCUUCUGAAGAAUUGCAGCUCCGAUUUCCUUUGAAAGUACUUUGUAAGUACUGAGUGAAUGUCUGAGAUUUUUUAGAAAUCUUUGUUCUUUGGUCUUUUCUCCUUGAAUCUUCCUAAUGUUGCUAUCACAGUAAUUUUUUUUUCUCUCUCUCGGGGAAACUGGAAACUCUGGGAUGGGUACUUGAGGGUGUUCUAAGAAUGGAGCCGAAAGGUUUUUUUCCUGAAACGUAUUCUGCUGCAAGAAACCUGCCUUACUCAGUUUGCCUAGGAGAAAGUAUUUGAUUCUUACUAUUUUUAUCUUUGCAAAAGCAACCUGUGGAUUAUUAUAUAUUUUACCAGUUAAAAUCUUUGGUUAAUAGAGUGGUGUGUUAAUGAGCUUUAUUUUCAAUGGUAACCUAACUCUUAGAGGAAAAAACAUGUUAAAAAUUCCUGUGGAAUUGUACUUACCGUGAGCUACAAGUUUAUGUGCAGAAAUAAUGAGAGUGUCAAAUGUGAUUUUGUAAAAUAUGCAGAUGGCGAGUUUUUUCUUUUUAAGGAGGAUUGUUGUCCUUAAAAACAGACCCUCCUACUCCUAAAGAGAAGCUCUUAAAAAAAUAAAGGUAAAUUUAGGAGGAUGCCUUUGGCUAGUAAUUGAACGCAUCCUCUGGAAGAUGGAUUUAGUAAUCGCAAUUAAUCAAAGGUCAUGGAAUUCCCUAAUCCUGACUCUGCUCUUGAUUUAACACGUUGCUGCCAAUUUAAAUUUGGACUGAAGAAACCUAAAGAUUUUAACCUAGAAUAAAUAUUUUGAGUUGAGUCUUAAUCACCUUUGCUAAAGUUUGAAGUGUUUUAAUUCCAAGGACUCUGACUUCAUGCCAAACAGCUUGCUUAUGACAGGGAACCGACAGGAAUUUCUUAAUCCAUUAACGGGUAAAUUAUCUCCCCUCUGGGAAUGUGGAUUUUAAGGCACCGACUCUAAUGGGUGGUGUCUUUGCUGUUCCCCAGACCUCAGGGCUCCAGUAUCUGUGGGCCUAGAGGAAGGCAUGCCCUUAGAUGCCAUUUUCCAUUUGGAAAGCUGCAUUUAAAGACUUCUUUGUUGUUAUGUAUUGUCUGAUUUUUAAAUCCCAACGACCCAAGGUGCCAACAAUGAAAGGAAAUGUUUCAGUGGCACAGUUAGUAGGACAAGAAUGUAAGAAGGAAAAAGAGAACUGAGUUCUUGGGCUAUUUUUAGAAAGAAACUUAAAAAAAAAAAAAAAAAAAAAAAAACCUUAAGCCUUUUUAUUGAGCCGAAGAGAAGUGUGCCGCCCAGAUCCCUGGCAAUUAUAACGGCAAAGUCUGUAAUGUCAUCUUCAGCCGUUCAAGGGCCGAUGAGCGUGUCCUUCAGAGUAUAUACUUUUAUCCAAAGGAACUAACUGUUCUUCUGUUAACUGUUACCAAGGCACCAUCAGAAUGCCAGGCUUUAGAGGUGUGCUGUAGUUGGACAUGAGCUCAUUUUCAAGCUGUUAUUCAUCUGCUCCGUUGUAGUUUAGUCCUGUGGAAAAGAAAAGCUGUUUAAGAGCCAUCUAGUUUUUAAUUUAACAAAAGGAGUUUCCAGAGGUGUUUGCACCAUGAGGAAGCCUGUGUUCUUUUAGGAGGAGUUGCUGAAAUGCUCAUCACCACUUGCAGCCUGUUGCCUUGGUGAUUUACGCGCGCUGUGAAACAGUGAUAGAGGCAGAGGAGCACGUUUCCAUGAUGUCAGGGUCGGGGUGGGACUCUCUCCUGUUUGCCCGUGAUGAUGCUCCUCCCUGCUACGGUCACAGUCCCCUCCUGAGAAGAGGCUUUGUGGACUGGCCGUGACCUUGGCCCUGACAGGUCCCUGUGCACUCACCUCAGCCUCCCACGGGAAUCCAGAUGCCGAGAAACCUGGGUAGCUCUGGGCUGUGGCCGGAGCCUGUGGCUUCAGCUGUGUGCUGGGCACACUGCUCUUGACUUGAUGCCUCCAGUCGUGUGUGCCCUGCUCUCCUGGCAGCCCGCCCUCCCGUCCUCAUCCUCCCCCUCUCAAAAUAGUUCUAGCCCCAGAGGCCCUGACAGAGGAACUCCUGACUGCUCUGGAUUCCUAGAGAAGGGCCAUCUGCUGUAAGCCUCAAGGGGGCUCAGGGAGACGGAGAGGACCCUUCCUCUGGAUGCCCCGCGUCCACUUUUUUUUUUUUUUUUUUUCUUUUCUUUCAGGGCCGCACCUGCAGGAUAUGCAAGUUCCCAGGCUAGGGGUCGAAUCGGAUCUAUAGCUGCCAGCCUGUACCACAGCCACAGCAAUGCCAGAUUCAGGCCACAUCUGUGAUCUACACCGCAGCUCAUGGCAACGCCGGAUCCUUAGCACAUUGAGUGAGGCCAAGGAUCGAACCCGUAUCCUCAUGGAUUCUAGUCGGGUUUGUUACCACUGAGCUACGACGGGAACUCCCCAGCUUCCCUUUUGGUUUGGAGCUGCUCAGGGACCACAGCUCUGGAAUGUUCUCUCCCAGAAGGAAAUGUUGCAGGGCUCAGGCUCAAUGCUGAGUUUCCACGUUCUAUCUGGAGCAGCGGGGGCGGGGGGUGGGCUUGGGCUCUGCCAUCUAGGGCACAGGGUGUGGUCGUAGGACCCAGCCCCCGGGCAGGGAAUCUGAGGGCUCCUGGAAAUGCUGGGGCACUGUUACUGUUCAGCUGUAGUAAGCGCCCCCAGAGCCAAACAAUGCACAAAGGAAGCGAUGGUGCCUACUCGCCAAGAACCCUCGUGCUCGAAGUAGGCGGGCCCCAGAGCUGACUUACACAUCGAGUGAGCUGGCAGAGCCAAGAAUGGAAGGAAGGAGAGGAGAACAGGGUGAGCAGGGAAGGUCCGGGGUCGCCCUCAGGCCACCUUUCAGUUCAUCUGGCCUUUUGCCAGGGGCAGAGCCACCGGGCACUGCCUUCCCUGUUCCUGGGAAGGGGUGGAGGUGGGGGCGAGGACGGCCUCCCGGGCCUGACCCACAGCCCCAGUUCCCUGUGAUGAUCCCCGGCACUGGGAGGAGGCUCAGGAGUUUCCGCCUGCACCUGGACUGUUGCUGUUCUGUAGAGCAAGAGACAUGAUGCGUCUAAAAGGCAGGCAGUGUCUUUUCUCCAUAGAGUGCUCUUGGGGUGGAAGUACGAAUUGGGGUUCCAGAUUUUCUCUCCCUUUGAAACUGAAAUAUUCCCGAACUAGUUACUUAGCCCCAUUCUGGUUUGGGAGGUUGAGUCAACUGUUAAAUUAGGGAAGUGCCUUGAACUGCUCAGAAGAAAGGUGUUUCGAAGGCCAACUCAGCGUUAUUGCAGCUCUCAGAGGAGUCAGAAGGCUGUGAAUCAGAGGCAGUAAAAAAGGUGAGCUCGGGUAUUGGAGAUUAAUAAAUAGGAGGACGGGUAUGAAUCUGUGAGUCAUUUUCCCUUUAUACUCAAGCUCAUCCCAUCGCUGACUAAGGUUCUGGGUCUCAUUCCACGGAUCCACAACUGAGAGAACCUUGGAGAGACUGCAACAGAGAAGCUCAGAAAUGACUAAAGGGUUGAAAAAUGAUGCCUGUGCUAAGAUGUUAGGGAGCUUCUCUUCUUUAGCCCGUAGGGGAAAAAAUGACCAGGGGACUUGUGAAUUGUUAUUCAAGCAUCUGUGUGCUUCGGUACCAGGGAACAGUGGCCGGCUAGGAUUCGGUUCUCUCGAGGAUGUGAGUGUUUGGUCCAGUUAGGGUUGAGUCAGAACCGCAGUCCCCACAGUGUGAUCCACUAACCUCAGCAUCAAUAGCACCUGGGAGCUUGUGAGAAUUGCACAUUCUCAGGCCCCACUCAGGACCUGCCAAUUCAGAAACUAUGGGAUGGGGCCCAGCAACCUGUCUUUGAACUAACUGCCCCACCCCCACCCCCACACGUAAUUCAGAUGCACACUGAAGUUUGCGGACCACUAGACAAGGUACUAGAAGGGUUCUUAUAAAUUGAGGACUUGGGGUACAGCAAAGUCUAAACUUUUUUCCUGAAGUCUCUAAAAAAUGGGUUUGGAUUAGUUUGCAAUGUUUUCAACAUUCUGUCUGCAGUCAGAAGGUCACUGACCUCCCAGAGUCCGAGUAGCCCUGACUCUGCUCUGGAUGUCCUCCGUCACUUAAGAUGAAUAAUAAUAAAAAAAUUUUUUAAAAAAAGAAGAUGAAUAAUUAACCAGGAGAAUCGGGCAAUUACUUUUCUGAACUCAGUGGUUAAGACAGUGCCCAUGUCGUGUGAUCACAUGAGCUGUUGUGAUAGUAAUAAGUUGUGUUAUCAGAUAGAUCCUGCUUAGAUCACAGUCCUGUUAAUUACAGCGACUGUCUUCUCCCCACCUGAGGAGAGGUUUGGGCAGUGGUCAGAGGGGGAGCCCUUCGCUGCUAGCCCAGAACCCCUCCACGUCACAGCUGCUGGCUGGGUGGCUGCUCUUUUCACAGAGCGCCUUUCAAAAGAAAGGUAACCGCAGGGAAGUUUGUCUCUACCCCCUUGUCCUGCCUCUGUCACUUCCACCUGCAGGAAUGCCUGCCUUCUGCCUGCACAGGAAUCCCAUCUGGUGCCCUGGAAACUGGGGACAGUGGGGGACCUAAGUAUCUAGCAUUGGCAGGUCUCUCCAAGACCUGGAGGCCACAGACCUAUUUAUCCUGUUGCUUUGUAUCUACAGCAGACAGCGGAUGGUACACAGAGUAGGCACUUGGCACAAAUACAUAGUUCAUUAUUCUGUGGCAGCAUCCAAGGUCACAGGUGCUCUGCCCUCUGCCAUGUAGCUAAGGAUCUAGAGUCAGGAAUCAGCAGUUCUGACCCUUCCCCAUCAAAAUACUUGUUCCUAAGAGUCCCUCUACCCCCGCCCCCCAAUUUUGCACAUAAUAUCAAUGCAUCUUAAUUCAGUUGUCUUUGCCACUCUUAUAUAUUUUUCCUUUGUAUUUUUGCUUGGAACUGUCUGUGGUUGAAAACACAAACUCGUGGGGGUGGGGUGAGAGGUCUGUUGUGCUACAUUGUAUAGCAUUUAAUGCAUUCAGAGCUUGCCCCAUCAGAAUGAGGAAGGGGUCCUCUGAGGACAUGCUUGGCCAGCCCUGCCUUAGAAAGUGUUGCACAGGCAGCGAACGGCUGUCCCCAGGGAGGACACGUUCAGCCUUGGCGGGAGCCCUGAGGCCCCGAGGCUUUAGCACUGAGAAUUGGGAUCGGUGGGAGCCUGGGCUUUCAUAGCUGUAGUUAACUACACCUCUGCAGGGUAUUAAAGACCUUCAAGUGAGGGCUCCUGGCUCAGACCCCAGUUUGCCUUGUAAGGGGAACGAGAGGGUUAAAGGCCGCAGGUGUGUAUUCUGAGCCGUUUGUGAGCCUUCAGACCUCGAUAUGUUGGAAAAAACUGACCUCUCAGAUGUUAAGCUGUGGGCACUGUUACUUCCCGAGGCCAUGUCCCUUGCAGAGUGUGCAAGGCCUGCUCAGUGUGCUGGCUGUGCACAGAGGCACUCGAUUGGUCUCAGCAAUCCGGAGGGCAGGCGGCUGAUUUUAACACCCUGGAUCAGUCUCCGAAUAGGAAACGUUUUCUUUAAAACCCAUGAACUCUCAACAACUAUAUCUAGCAGAGCAGAUUCCAAAUGUCUGGUCGAUUUAUUUCUUAAUAAAUAGCAGGGGAAAGGCUAUUUUCAUUUCUCUACAAAGAGGAAUGACUGACUGGUCCUUUUGGUAUUACAUCCUGGCAAAAAUAAUUUUGUUUUCAAAGUCAGUCGUAUCUUGCCCACGUAUAUGUCGUGAAAAAUGAGAGUUGUGGAGUUCUCGUUGUGGCUCAGCAGUAAUGAACCCAGCUAGUACCCAUGAGGACAUGGGUUUAGUUCCUGGCCCCACACAGUGUGUUAAGGAUCUGGUGUUGCUGUGAGCUGCAGUGUAGGUCACAGAUGCCGCUUUGAUGUGGCGUUGCUGUGGCUGCGGUGUAGGCCAGCAGCUGUACCUUUGAUUUGAUCCCUGCCCUGGGAACCUCCAUGUGCUGCGGGUGCAACUCUAAAAAUUAAAAAAAAUUUUUAAUAAAAUUAAACUUCUGGGAGUUCCUGUUGUGGCUCAGCAGGUUGAAGACUUGACAUUGUCUCUGUGAGAAUGUGGGUUCGAUCCCUGGCCUCUGCUCAGUGGGUCAAGGAGUCGGCAUUGCUGCAAGCUGUGGUGUAGGUCGCCCAUGUGGCUCGGAUCUGGUGUGGCUGUGGCUGUGGUGUAGACCUGGAGCUGCAGCUCUGAUUAGACCCCUAGCCUGGGAACUUUCAUAUGCCACAAAUGUGGCCCUAAAAAGAAAAAAAAAAA